Molecule: ribosomal RNA, 2197 nt
Filed under: Pseudomonas aeruginosa
Lineage: Bacteria; Pseudomonadati; Pseudomonadota; Gammaproteobacteria; Pseudomonadales; Pseudomonadaceae
Description: partial 23S ribosomal RNA
Rfam family: Bacterial large subunit ribosomal RNA
Source: RNAcentral
GGUCAAGUGAAGAAGCGCAUACGGUGGAUGCCUUGGCAGUCAGAGGCGAUGAAAGACGUGGUAGCCUGCGAAAAGCUUCGGGGAGUCGGCAAACAGACUUUGAUCCGGAGAUCUCUGAAUGGGGGAACCCACCUAGGAUAACCUAGGUAUCUUGUACUGAAUCCAUAGGUGCAAGAGGCGAACCAGGGGAACUGAAACAUCUAAGUACCCUGAGGAAAAGAAAUCAACCGAGAUUCCCUUAGUAGUGGCGAGCGAACGGGGAUUAGCCCUUAAGCUUCAUUGAUUUUAGCGGAACGCUCUGGAAAGUGCGGCCAUAGUGGGUGAUAGCCCCGUACGCGAAAGGAUCUUUGAAGUGAAAUCGAGUAGGACGGAGCACGAGAAACUUUGUCUGAACAUGGGGGGACCAUCCUCCAAGGCUAAAUACUACUGACUGACCGAUAGUGAACCAGUACCGUGAGGGAAAGGCGAAAAGAACCCCGGAGAGGGGAGUGAAAUAGAACCUGAAACCGUAUGCGUACAAGCAGUGGGAGCCUACUUGUUAGGUGACUGCGUACCUUUUGUAUAAUGGGUCAGCGACUUAUAUUCAGUGGCAAGCUUAACCGUAUAGGGUAGGCGUAGCGAAAGCGAGUCUUAAUAGGGCGUUUAGUCGCUGGGUAUAGACCCGAAACCGGGCGAUCUAUCCAUGAGCAGGUUGAAGGUUAGGUAACACUGACUGGAGGACCGAACCCACUCCCGUUGAAAAGGUAGGGGAUGACUUGUGGAUCGGAGUGAAAGGCUAAUCAAGCUCGGAGAUAGCUGGUUCUCCUCGAAAGCUAUUUAGGUAGCGCCUCAUGUAUCACUCUGGGGGGUAGAGCACUGUUUCGGCUAGGGGGUCAUCCCGACUUACCAAACCGAUGCAAACUCCGAAUACCCAGAAGUGCCGAGCAUGGGAGACACACGGCGGGUGCUAACGUCCGUCGUGAAAAGGGAAACAACCCAGACCGCCAGCUAAGGUCCCAAAGUUGUGGUUAAGUGGUAAACGAUGUGGGAAGGCUUAGACAGCUAGGAGGUUGGCUUAGAAGCAGCCACCCUUUAAAGAAAGCGUAAUAGCUCACUAGUCGAGUCGGCCUGCGCGGAAGAUGUAACGGGGCUCAAACCACACACCGAAGCUGCGGGUGUCACGCAAGUGACGCGGUAGAGGAGCGUUCUGUAAGCCUGUGAAGGUGAGUUGAGAAGCUUGCUGGAGGUAUCAGAAGUGCGAAUGCUGACAUGAGUAACGACAAUGGGUGUGAAAAACACCCACGCCGAAAGACCAAGGGUUCCUGCGCAACGUUAAUCGACGCAGGGUUAGUCGGUUCCUAAGGCGAGGCUGAAAAGCGUAGUCGAUGGGAAACAGGUUAAUAUUCCUGUACUUCUGGUUACUGCGAUGGAGGGACGGAGAAGGCUAGGCCAGCUUGGCGUUGGUUGUCCAAGUUUAAGGUGGUAGGCUGAAAUCUUAGGUAAAUCCGGGGUUUCAAGGCCGAGAGCUGAUGACGAGUCGUCUUUUAGAUGACGAAGUGGUUGAUGCCAUGCUUCCAAGAAAAGCUUCUAAGCUUCAGGUAACCAGGAACCGUACCCCAAACCGACACAGGUGGUCGGGUAGAGAAUACCAAGGCGCUUGAGAGAACUCGGGUGAAGGAACUAGGCAAAAUGGCACCGUAACUUCGGGAGAAGGUGCGCCGGCUAGGGUGAAGGAUUUACUCCGUAAGCUCUGGCUGGUCGAAGAUACCAGGCCGCUGCGACUGUUUAUUAAAAACACAGCACUCUGCAAACACGAAAGUGGACGUAUAGGGUGUGACGCCUGCCCGGUGCCGGAAGGUUAAUUGAUGGGGUUAGCGCAAGCGAAGCUCUUGAUCGAAGCCCCGGUAAACGGCGGCCGUAACUAUAACGGUCCUAAGGUAGCGAAAUUCCUUGUCGGGUAAGUUCCGACCUGCACGAAUGGCGUAACGAUGGCGGCGCUGUCUCCACCCGAGACUCAGUGAAAUUGAAAUCGCUGUGAAGAUGCAGUGUAUCCGCGGCUAGACGGAAAGACCCCGUGAACCUUUACUGUAGCUUUGCACUGGACUUUGAGCCUGCUUGUGUAGGAUAGGUGGGAGGCUUUGAAGCGUGGACGCCAGUUCGCGUGGAGCCAUCCUUGAAAUACCACCCUGGCAUGCUUGAGGUUCUAACUCUGGUCCGU